Molecule: ribosomal RNA, 253 nt
Filed under: uncultured bacterium
Lineage: Bacteria
Description: partial 16S ribosomal RNA
Rfam family: Bacterial small subunit ribosomal RNA
Source: RNAcentral
UACGUAGGGUGCAAGCGUUGUCCGGAAUUAUUGGGCGUAAAGAGCUCGUAGGCGGUUUGUCACGUCGGCUGUGAAAACCUAGGGCUCAACCCUGGGCCUGCAGCCGAUACGGGCAAACUAGAAUUCGGUAGGGGAGACUGGAAUUCCUGGUGUAGCGGUGAAAUGCGCAGAUAUCAGGAGGAACACCGGUGGCGAAGGCGGGUCUCUGGGCCGAUACUGACACUGAGGAGCGAAAGCGUGGGGAGCGAACAGG